This 336-nucleotide ribosomal RNA is filed under the name uncultured Anaerolineaceae bacterium. RNAcentral's name for it is "bacterial SSU rRNA". It matches the Rfam family "Bacterial small subunit ribosomal RNA", at positions 1034 to 1382 of the family's 1533-position model. The record is from RNAcentral. Lineage: Bacteria; Bacillati; Chloroflexota; Anaerolineae; Anaerolineales; Anaerolineaceae.
ACAGGUGCUGCAUGGCUGUCGUCAGCUCGUGUCGUGAGAUGUCCGGUUAAGUCCGGUAACGAGCGCAACCCUCGCUGUGUGUUAUAUGUGUCACACGGGACUGCCGGUAUCAAGCCGGAGGAAGGUGGGAUGACGUCAAGUCAGCAUGGCCUUUAUGUCUCGGGGCUACACGACACGCUACAAUGGCCAGUACAAUAGGUUGCGAAGACCGCGAGGUGGAGCCAAUCCUUAAAGCUGGUCUCAGUUCGGAUUGCAGGCUGCAACUCGCCUGCAUGAAGUCGGAGUUGCUAGUAACCGCGCGUCAGCCAUAGUGCGGUGAACACGUUCCCGGGGCUU